UUGGCUUGUACUAUUUUUGUCGCAAGGAACUUCACCAAGUAAUCAUAUCCAUGACAAUAGAGAGCUUCAAUCUCUGCCCUUCUACCACUCUGAAUCAUAGCAGCCACCUCUUCUUUGUAGCUAUCCUGGAAAAAACCGAAUCUCUGAUGACAUUAAGCUCUUGGCAAUCUGGAGAUCUCGAGGUUUCAAAGGGACCAAACAUUCUUCAGAGAAACAGACUCCUAUAAGUGAAGUUAAGAAGACAACAAGGAUACAUGAUUCAACAUAACUUUUAAGAGAAAAGAGCACCAUAUCUGUAUGCUUCAAGUCCCAUCCCUAUGCUUCCAAACUUGAAGGUGCAAAGGAU
Molecule: non-coding RNA, 346 nt
Organism: Solanum lycopersicum (tomato)
Lineage: Eukaryota; Viridiplantae; Streptophyta; Magnoliopsida; Solanales; Solanaceae
Source: RefSeq, a predicted model, not a curated record